AUGGCCACAGUUCCUGAGUUGCUGCAGCAGCAGGAGGAGGACCACAGGAAGCUGAGAUCUGUAUCUGUGGACCUGAAUGUUGAUCCCUCACUUCAGAUUGACAUACCUGAUGCGCUCAGUGAGAGAGAUAAGGUCAAAUUUACAGUGCACACAAAGACCACACUGCCCACAUUUCAGAAUCCAGAGUUUUCUGUUACAAGGCAACAUGAGGACUUUGUGUGACUACAUGACACUCUUCAUGUACCCUAGAACUUAAAGUAUAACAAAAAAAAAAAAAAAAAAAAGAAAGAACAGACCAUGCUGGGCUUAUUAUUCCGCCUGCUCCUACGAAGGCUGACUUCAAUGGUCCUUGAGAGAAGAUGCAGAAACUGGGAGAAGGUAAAGGGUCUUUGACCAAAGAAGAAUUUGCCAAGAUGAAAUAAGAACUGGAAGCUGAGUAUCUCGCUGUUUUUAAGAAGACUGUGUCCUCCCAUGAAGCCUUUCUUUAGUGGCUUUCUUCUCACCCUGUUCUCAGUAAAGAUCGCAACUUUCAUAUUUUCCUGGAAUAUGAUCAGGAUCUAAGUGUUAGGUGGAAAAAUACUAAAGAGAUGUUUGGUGGCUUCUUCAAAAGUGUGGUGAAAGUGCUGAUGCAGUCCUUUUUACUGGAGUUAAGGAGGUAGAUGACUUCUUUGAGCAAGAGAAUGACUUCCUUAUUAACUAUUAGAGUAGGAUCAAAGAUUCUUGUGUGAAAGCUGACAAAAUGACCAGAUCUCAUAAAAAUGUUGCCGAUGACUAUAUUCACACUGCAGCCUGCUUACAUAGCCUGGCUUUAGAAGAGCCCACAGUCAUCAAAAAGUAUCUAUUGAAGGUUGCUGAGCUAUUUGAAAAACUUAGGAAAGUAGAGGGUUGAAUCUCAUCAGAUGAAGAUUUAAAGCUAACAGAGCUCCUCCGAUACUACAUGCUCAACAUCGAAGCUGCUAAGGAUCUCUUACACAGAUGCACCAAAGCCCUCAUUGACUAUGAAAAAUCAAACAAAGCUCUGGAUAAGGCCCAGUUUAAAGAGCAAAGAUGUCAAGUUGGCUAAGGUACACUAGGAGGAGUGCUGCCAGAAAUUUGAAUAGCUUUCCAAAUCUGCAAAGGAAGAACUGAUAAAUUUCAAACGGAAGAAAGUGGCAGCAUUUAGAAAGAAUCUAAUUGAAAUGUCUGAACUGGAAAUAAAACAUGCGAGGAACAGUGUCUCCCUUUUGCAGAGCUGUAUUGACUUGUUCAAGAAUAAC
RNAcentral lists this long non-coding RNA (1256 nucleotides) under Homo sapiens (human). RNAcentral's name for it is "non-protein coding lnc-UTP20-2:1". Lineage: Eukaryota; Metazoa; Chordata; Mammalia; Primates; Hominidae. The record is from RNAcentral.